Molecule: ribosomal RNA, 581 nt
Filed under: Nakaseomyces glabratus
Lineage: Eukaryota; Fungi; Ascomycota; Saccharomycetes; Saccharomycetales; Saccharomycetaceae
Description: eukaryotic LSU rRNA
Rfam family: Eukaryotic large subunit ribosomal RNA
Source: RNAcentral
AAACCAACUGGGAUUGCCUUAGUAACGGCGAGUGAAGCGGCAAAAGCUCAAAUUUGAAAUCUGGUACCUUUGGUGCCCGAGUUGUAAUUUGGAGAGUACCACUUUGGGACUGUACUUUGCCUAUGUUCCUUGGAACAGGACGUCAUGGAGGGUGAGAAUCCCGUGUGGCGAGGGUGUCAGUUCUUUGUAAAGGGUGCUCGAAGAGUCGAGUUGUUUGGGAAUGCAGCUCUAAGUGGGUGGUAAAUUCCAUCUAAAGCUAAAUACAGGCGAGAGACCGAUAGCGAACAAGUACAGUGAUGGAAAGAUGAAAAGAACUUUGAAAAGAGAGUGAAAAAGUACGUGAAAUUGUUGAAAGGGAAGGGCAUUUGAUCAGACAUGGUGUUUUGCGCCCCUUGCCUCUCGUGGGCUUGGGACUCUCGCAGCUCACUGGGCCAGCAUCGGUUUUGGCGGCCGGAAAAAACCUAGGGAAUGUGGCUCUGCGCCUCGGUGUAGAGUGUUAUAGCCCUGGGGAAUACGGCCAGUCGGGACCGAGGACUGCGAUACUUGUUAUCUAGGAUGCUGGCAUAAUGGUUAUAUGCCGC